AAAUAUGCAGCAGGUGACGAGGCCUUCGGGAUGUGAAAUUAAAGAAUCCCUGAGAACCAAAUUUAUGGGCAGUUUGGGAAUCAGGAGCUGGCGGAACAAGUACAGCAUGGCCAGGCCACUUCUCAUUGACCUUAUAAAGCGUUGCAUAAUCUUCAGCAAUGACAAGGACCUUGUCUUGAUGCUUUUGCCUUACAAUACUAAUCAACCAGUUGUUAAGGAAGGGCAAGUAAGGCUGGCUAACUGCACAAACAAUCACAGUCCCAUUCUUGGCCACAAAAGACACAGCUUGGGCCAGAGUGUACUGACGCCAUUUGCUAAGAGAGGGUUUAGUCACCGAGAAGAUACCCUGGGGCAUCCCCGUCCACGGCAUGAAUACUCCCAGAAUUAGCAUAAGAGAGAACAAAACUAUGAGGCCAGUGCGGCUAAAAAUUGAAAUUUGCCUUUGGGAAUUGGAGGAAUAGGGUGGUGAUAAUGGGUGGUAUGGAUCGGAAAGCGUAGUUUGGAGAGUCCUUUGGUGCAAAAAAGAUGGCAUUGUGUAGCUAUAUUGUACCUAUUUACAGGCGAGAAUGGAUUUGCAGUGGAGUUCAGAUUCCAAAAGGGUGUGCGGAUGGAGUAUUACAAUGGUUUCAGGAGCAAGAUGUAUUGAGAUCGGAUCUGUAAUUCUGUUCAUGGAUUGCGGAGUGAAAAACGGUGAGC
RNAcentral lists this unclassified non-coding RNA (696 nucleotides) under Hevea brasiliensis (rubber tree). The record is from RNAcentral. Lineage: Eukaryota; Viridiplantae; Streptophyta; Magnoliopsida; Malpighiales; Euphorbiaceae.